Molecule: long non-coding RNA, 2858 nt
Organism: Thunnus maccoyii (southern bluefin tuna)
Lineage: Eukaryota; Metazoa; Chordata; Actinopteri; Scombriformes; Scombridae
Exons: 5
Source: RefSeq, a predicted model, not a curated record
UAACGUAACCAUUACGUAUGGGCUUGGCUGCUGCUAUUUCACAGUGUGUUUUCAGUUCACUGAAGUUAACUGUAACAUUGUGGUCGCCUAAAAACAGCCUGGCGUUUGGUUCUAAUAAAAGACCCAUCAAUGAGUCGGAUGAUCAGUUUUUCCGACUAUUCCUGAUUUGCUGACCUGCAGUUCAGAUUCGGCCCCGGAGGAGGAAAGAAGAGUAAAGGCCUUUGAAGUGAAACGGAUCCCCAUCAGCUGCAGCUCUCUAACAAAGUAGCAGCUCAAAGCUCUGAGAUGGAAAGAGAUGGCAGGAAGGACUAGCUACAUGCUGACUUGCUACAUGGCAAGGUUGCCUUUCUCGUGUAGCUGCUGACUUCAAGAUUGGAAUUUGAAACAACCAAAUCUCACUUGCCAUACAGAGAUGUUCAGUGGGACUGAGGGAAAAGCAAAACAUGUAUUUUUGAUGAUGUGUACAACCAAAAAUACCCCCUGCACUAAGAAAUCUGACAACGUUGUUCUGUCAGAAACAUCCCAUCUCUUUUUCCAGAGCACCAGCCACAGUCAAUCCCCCUCCAAUACCUGGAAUAUUACUACAGAUGUGCAUCUCAGUGGGUGGAAUAGUCAGAUCAGAUGACAUCUGAUGUCAUCCACAGCCAAAAAUAAACUGAGCAUUACUCUUACUGGAAGAAAAGUGAUCAGUUGCAAAAUAAAGAGAUGUUGUCACCUGCCAUGUCACAGAUGUAAGUUUAUCCUAUUUUCAUUUCUUGACUUAAUGUGAAAAUGGGGAAAAAUCAGCAGACUGUAUAGAAUAAUUACUGGGAUACAAUGACAUAAUGAUAACAAACAACAUUCUUUGUCUACAAGAUUGUUUGUGUCUGGUUUAUAAUCUAACUGCAAGGAAAUCAGUGAAACAAUACCUUCUUGUUUCCUGGAAGCGAAUCAAGAUUUUUGUCUGAGUGAAAUCAAAUGUCCAUCAAACACUGAUUGUGGCACAGCUGUCCUAGCAAUGUUAACAAUGCAUCUACACUUGUGUAUACUGUUGUAUAACUACAAUCAAGGCAUAGAAUUGGUCCUUCAGAACCCAAAUUUGAAGCACAACGAGAGAUUAAAAAGUGAAAAAACUAGAUCAGAGCUUCUCAGUGUUUGAUCAUGAAAAGACUUUGCUACAAUGAGAAUUUGAAUUAGGAGAAAAGGCUUUUGAAGACAAAUCACAUAAUGAAACAACAAAAAAACAGAUAAACAGCCACACACACUCACUCCCCCCUACAUACACACACACAGCCAGAACUGCAGACACUUUAGCAAGUAUGUUGCUGAUUGAGGCUGAUUGAGCGUGAGUGAGUGCACUGGCAGGAGGCCAACUGUUUUGGGGAAAUUACCGAGAUGAGCGGCACAUCGCUUGUCAGCUUUUCUGGGAUGAGAUGCCCUAUAACACACACACACACACGCGCACACACGCACAAGCAGUACUUCUUCUGUGACAGUAGGGAGGAGAUAGGGGAGACAACAGAUAAAAGCCUGAUUUGUGGUGCAUUUCAAAGUGAACAAUUCCUCAUUUUUCAUCAGACAUUUCAUACUUUGGCUCUCAUCUUCUGUCUGAGAGAUAAAUGGCAGACUUGGUGAAUUAGAUUCAAAGUGCAAAAUGAACAAUUGAUUUGACAAUAAUGGACUAAAAAUAAGACUUUCCAAAUGCAUUUUAGACUUAAAAUAAUUUGAGUGCUUGUGCUUGAUGUGACAUUUAAUAAUUUUUGCCCCCAUUGAUGUUCUCAGGGUGUAAGAGAAGAUAAACCAAGCACACUUAAAGUACAUAUACAUAUUUACAUAUUUGAAUCUGUUUGGUUUACUCAUAGUGAGUGAUGCUUUUCUCUGCUGUCAUUCUUUUAAAUUUUUGAAUGUGAGUUAAAAUUGCAACACAAAGGGGCUGUUUUAAUCAAAUAGCAGCAUAUUCAAAGACAUCUCCCUUUUUCCUCUGGUCUGAGUCUCUUUCUGACGUCUCUUCCGUCCUCUCUUUCUUGAUGGGAGAUAGAAAAAAGAGAAAAUGAAAGAAACCACCUCCUCCUCAACAGUGGGAGUGAGUGGCGUCCUCUGGGGGGACUGAGCAAGAUGACUCGGUGGUUGUGGAAGCUUCCUGGCAUCUGUUCAGUGUUCCAGACCGACAGCUAAUUCUGUUUCAGGAGGUAUAAACAGUUCUGUUCUGCAUCCUUAUCGCAAACACAGACCCAGGACGUCAUCGUUGUAUAACACUUUGGAUGCAACAGACAAAGAAAAGGGAACAGAGAGGGGGGAGAGAGAGAGAGGGUGUGUAGGAUGUGUGGGGAGAGUAGAGCACAGUGAUACAUCGCUGAUGAAUAUUUUAAAGGGAAGAAGAAAAAUGAAGACACUUUUUGCUUUGGAUCUGCUGUAGUUGGAGGAUCUUAAGGAAAACAGGACACUAGGACACAUUUUUAUUCCCAAGGAGGAACAGAGUUUAGAGUGUUUUACCUCACGUUUCAAAAGAAAGUUGCACUUUUAUUUCUGUGGUUAAGCUUAUGCACUUAAGCCACUGUGAAAAUGCAUAUCUCUUCAGAAUUAUCACACUCUGUUUUACACUUUUGACCCUACGCUUAAUGACAUUAAAAAGGCUUUGUGACUAUUUAUUUAAUGAACAACCUCACCAAGGUCUCAUCUGCUUCCAAGCAAACCGAGCAUUACCAACCACAGGAUUAUAUGAAACAGAUAUGUAACACCUGUAAGAAUUCAAUGGCUAAUGUACAGUAGACAAUAUAUCUUCUGGUCCAUUUCCCCUUCAUGUGGUGGUACAUGACAUGUCUCUGUUUCUAAUCUCUCUUUGUUUUUUAUGACAAAUAAAGUUGCAGUCUCUAUACCAA